This 93-nucleotide small RNA is filed under the name Epilithonimonas zeae. RNAcentral describes it as "Chryseobacterium zeae Flavo-1 RNA". It matches the Rfam family "Flavo-1 RNA". Lineage: Bacteria; Pseudomonadati; Bacteroidota; Flavobacteriia; Flavobacteriales; Weeksellaceae. The record is from RNAcentral.
ACGCAAUAGGGAUAGUAACGGUUAUCCUUUUGCUUUUCGGGUAAGAUUUAGCUUGGGAAAAGCAAAAGAUAUGAGUGGAUAGCCCGACCCGAG